GGCAUUAUGGUGUAGUGGUUUAGCACUUGGGAUUCUGAUUUCAGAGUAUUCCCAGAACCCAGGUUCGAUCCCUGGUAACGCCU
This 83-nucleotide transfer RNA is filed under the name Postia placenta Mad-698-R. It matches the Rfam family "tRNA". Rfam says of the family: Transfer RNA (tRNA) molecules are approximately 80 nucleotides in length. Their secondary structure includes four short double-helical elements and three loops (D, anti-codon, and T loops). Lineage: Eukaryota; Fungi; Basidiomycota; Agaricomycetes; Polyporales; Adustoporiaceae. The record is from Rfam by way of RNAcentral.